RNAcentral lists this ribosomal RNA (603 nucleotides) under Pseudozyma hubeiensis. RNAcentral describes it as "eukaryotic LSU rRNA". It matches the Rfam family "Eukaryotic large subunit ribosomal RNA", at positions 66 to 650 of the family's 3401-position model. The record is from RNAcentral. Lineage: Eukaryota; Fungi; Basidiomycota; Ustilaginomycetes; Ustilaginales; Ustilaginaceae.
UAACAAGGAUUCCCCUAGUAACGGCGAGUGAAGAGGGAAGAGCCCAAGAUUGAAAGCUGGCGCCUUCGGCGUCCGCAUUGUAAUCUCAAGAAGUGUUUUCCGCUUCGGACCAUGCCUAAGUCCCUUGGAAAAGGGCAUCAUAGAGGGUGAUAAUCCCGUACAUGGCAUGGAGCGCCCGAAGCUUUGUGAUACGCUUUCUAAGAGUCGAGUUGUUUGGGAAUGCAGCUCAAAAUGGGUGGUAAAUGCCAUCUAAGGCUAAAUAUUGGGGAGAGACCGAUAGCGAACAAGUACAGUGAUGGAAAGAUGAAAAGAACUUUGAAAAGAGAGUUAAACAGUACGUGAAAUUGCCAAAAGGGAAGGGUAGGAGGUCAGAGAUGCGUCGCAGGAUUCAGCCUUGCUUUUGCUUGGUGUUUUUCCUGCGUUGCAGGCCAACGUCGGUUUUGGGCACUGGAGAAGGGUAGGAGGAACGUGGCACCUCUCGGGGUGUGUUAUAGCCUCCUACUGGAUACAGCGACCGAGACCGAGGAACGCAGCGUACUCGUAAGAGCGGGCCUUUUGGCACCUUUACGCUUAGGGCGUUGGCAUAAUGGCCCUCUACCACCC